This is a long non-coding RNA of Esox lucius (northern pike), 1452 nucleotides long. The record is from Ensembl. Lineage: Eukaryota; Metazoa; Chordata; Actinopteri; Esociformes; Esocidae.
GGGACAGCAAAUGUACACUGUUAUACAAGCUGUACACCUACUACUUUACAUUAUAGCAAAGUGUCAUUUCUUCAGUGUUGUCACAAGAUAUAAUCAUAUUUACAAAAUGUUAGGGGUGUACUCACUUUUGUGAGAUAUUUUAUAUUGUGUUUCAGACAUUCAUACACGUACAGAAACAUAUUUACUUACGUGAAUUGUAGGAUCCUAGACCUUAGGUAAGUUAAGGGGUAUAAUAUUUUGUAACCACGAUUCACCUGUAAUGAAAAAAAUCUAUUAGUAUUCAUAAUGUCACUCAAUAGUUUCAGCAGUGAAAUCAGAGGAAAACCAUUCUUUAAUGAAAAGCUGCUUACCUCCGUAGUAACAUUUGCUGCCAGUUCCUGAUAUGCUGUGGUAGAAGAGUUGGAAUAAUCAUCCAUGAAUGUACGGAUCAUUCUAAAUCCUAAUUCCACUGACCCCUCAUUUGCUGUAGGCUUUGCUGUUGAGUCUGUAGUUGCAGUUGUGGCUGCAGUAGUUGGGGUUAGUGCUGUGGUUGACGUGGCACCUGCCAAGUUUGUUGUUGAAGGAACCGUGAUUUCUGUGGUACCUGCAGUGUUUGUUGUUGCAGCAGUUGUUAAUGUUGGAGUAGGUGUAGUUGAUGAGACAGCUGUAGUGGUUGAUGUUUGAGCUGUUGUUGUAGUUGUUGAAGCUGUAAUUGUUGUUGGAGCAGAUGUGGUUGUUGUAGUGGCAGAUGUGGUUGCUGUGACACCUGCCAUGUUUGUUGUUGCAGUUGUUGUUGAUGUCGCAGUUGUUGUUGGUGCAGGUGUAGUUGAUGAGAAAGCUGUAGUGGUUGAUGUUUGAGCCGUUGUUGUAGUAGUUGCAGCUGUGGUUGUUGUAGUGGCAGAUAUAGUUGUUGUGGCUGUAUCUGUAGUUGACGUGGGUGCAGUUGUUGUUGAUGUGGCAGGUUCUGUGGUUGUUGUGGCAGUUGUAGUUGUUGAGGGAAGUGCUGUGGUUGACGUGGUUGCCGAUGUUGAUGUUGGAGCAACUGUGGUUGUUGUGGCACCUGCCAUGUUUGUUGUUGCAGUUGUUGUUGAUGUUGGAGCAGGUGUAGUUGAUGAGACAGCUGUAGUUGUUGUUGGAGCAGGUGUGGUUGUUGUACUGGCAGAUGUAGUUGUUGUGGCUGUAUCUGUGGUUGAAGUGGGUGCAGUUGUAGUUGAUGUGGCAUGUUCUGUGGUUGUUGUGGCAGCUGCAGUUGUUGUGGGAAGUGCUGUGAUUGACGUGGUUGCCGAUGUUGAUGUUGGAGCAACUGUGGUUGUUGUGGCACCUGCCAUGUUUGUUGUUGCAGUUGUUGUUGAUGUUGGAGCAGGUGUAGUUGAUGAGACAUCAGUAGUGGUUGAUGUUUGAGCUGUUGUUGUCGUGGCUGCAGCUGUAGUGGUUAGAGCUGUAGUUGUUGUUGGAGCAGGUGUGGUUGUUGUA